Molecule: ribosomal RNA, 270 nt
Filed under: uncultured archaeon
Lineage: Archaea
Description: partial 16S ribosomal RNA
Rfam family: Archaeal small subunit ribosomal RNA
Source: RNAcentral
CAGCACCUCAAGUGGUCAGGAUGAUUAUUGGGCCUAAAGCAUCCGUAGCCGCCUCUGUAAGUUUUCGGUUAAAUCUGUACGCUCAACGUACAGGCUGCCGGGAAUACUGCAGAGCUAGGGAGUGGGAGAGGUAGACGGUACUCGGUAGGAAGGGGUAAAAUCCUUUGAUCUAUUGAUGACCACCUGUGGCGAAGGCGGUCUACCAGAACACGUCCGACGGUGAGGGAUGAAAGCUGGGGGAGCAAACCGGAUUAGAUACCCGUGUAGUCC